GGGUGAGUAACACGUGAGAAUUUACCUUUAGGAGGGGGACAACAAUUGGAAACGAUUGCUAAUACCCCAUAUGCUUUCGAGUGAAAUGGUUUUUCCGCCUAAAGAAAAGCUCGCGGCUGAUUAGCUUGUUGGUAAGGUAAUGGCUUACCAAGGCGACGAUCAGUAUCUGGUUUGAGAGGACGAUCAGACACACUGGAACUGAGACACGGUCCAGACUCCUACGGGAGGCAGCAGUGGGGAAUUUUCCGCAAUGGGCGAAAGCCUGACGGAGCAAUACCGCGUGAGGGGAGACUGCCUAUGGGUUGUAAACCUCUUUUUUCAGGGAGGAACAAAAUGACGUGUACCUGAAGAAUAAGCAUCGGCUAACUCCGUGCCAGCAGCCGCGGUAAGACGGAGGAUGCAAGUGUUAUCCGGAAUUACUGGGCGUAAAGCGUCUGUAGGUGGUUUAGUAAGUCAACUGUUAAAUCUUGAGGCUCAACUUCAAAUCAGCAGUCGAAACUAUUAGACUAGAGUAUAGUAGGGGUAAAGGGAAUUUC
This 536-nucleotide ribosomal RNA is filed under the name uncultured cyanobacterium. RNAcentral describes it as "bacterial SSU rRNA". It matches the Rfam family "Bacterial small subunit ribosomal RNA", at positions 104 to 670 of the family's 1533-position model. The record is from RNAcentral. Lineage: Bacteria; Bacillati; Cyanobacteriota.